AAACCUAGAAACUUCCUACCUAAAAUCACCAAAAUUAUUGAUUUUAUUGGCCUAAAUCCUAGAUGGAAAUUGUUCUACUCAUUAAGCUUAUCGUCGUGGAAUAGUUUGCCCAGUAGAUUUCAAAGUGCGUCACAGUUGAUGUUGUGGCAGUUUUUAUGCUUUUUGAGAUUCAAGGUCUUGAAAAACAAGUACACGGCUCUUCUCACUACUAUAGUCAAGUUCCAACAAAUUGAUUAGUUCCAGUACUUCUGAAGUUGCCAAAUCCAGAGGUUUAUUAGUCUUUUAUUUUGUUUACCUGAUGGAUAGGUCGGGGACCUUCCUUAGCCAUGUAUAUUACUCUUUGGGGCUUCUAGGUUAUGGGUUGUAGAGAUUUAUUUUUGUCAGUUAUUCUGGCCAUGUUUUUUUGACUUUUUAGCACAGCGGCAAGUGGGACUUGAUCAUAUAUGAAUAUCUUUGUUCAAUUUAUAUAUUUCUAGAUAUUAUGGUAGUCUCAAUGGCUCGUAUAUAAUUACUUUAUUAUAGAAAAUAUGCUUGCCUCGACAACACAUAUAGGAUUUAGUCUAUGUUUUGUAUGAAUUACUGGGAUUAGCUUAGUUUACUGCAAGUUAUGUUUGCAUGGGCCUUACUGGCUGAGGGCUUAUAUUUAAGAUGCGAUAUACUUGUUUGUUUUCUUGAUUUAUGAUUGGUAUUACAUAGAGAAAUGCCUGGAACAAAAUAGACCGCAGCAAGCCAUAGGCUACAGUUGUAGGUGAAGGUACUAGCAGGGUGCCACCAACAUAGAUGACCCAUCCUAAGGUCAAGAGAGAGAUAUUUUCUUAUUCUCCUCCUGAUCAUUACCAUCAGAGGACCCUCCUAGAGCCAUAUGACCCCCAACUCGACCUCUAGUAAUGCCUCUAACUCCUUUUAUUCCAUCUAAUCAAGAUUUUAGGAGAGAAAUAUAUAUGCUGAAAUAAUUAUUAGCUACAGAACAACAUCCAGUGGAAAGAGAUAUUGUCGGACCUUUAGAGGGGAAUGAAUAUUCGAGGGUUCAUGAGUUCCUUGCCUUAAGCCCUCUAUAAUUUACAAGCAUAGAUUAUAGAGACGAUCCACAACACUAUGUAGAUAGCUUCACAGGAUCAUCAGGGUCCUGCGUGCUUCAAUGACCAAAUCAGGUGAGUAAGAAAUAUUUUGGUUGCGUGAUAUGGUAAUUUUAUAGUAUGAGAGUUGGUAGAGAUCUAUAGAGGGAGAUGUACCUCGUCCCACCAGGUAUAGUUUCAUAAAGACCUUCCUAGAUUACUACUUGCCACAGGAGACAUGAGAUGCUCAAGUAGAUAAGUUUUUGAAUCUUCAACAAGGCAAUAUAAGUGUCCAAGAGUAUGCAUUGAGAUUUCAUUCCUUUAACAGAUAUGCACCAUCCAUUGAGGAUAUGAUACAGGCCGGGGUUUAUCGAUUCGUGGAAACACUGGCUUCUGAUCACAUUUAGGCUUACACUACAACACCACUGAAUGAUGCGCGGGAUAUUAUCUGAAUCUAGGUCUUUGCAGAAAAUAUGGAGGAGUUUUGACAUCAGUAAUAUAUGGUUGAAAGGGGUUGAGAGGGAGCAACAAAGAAGGCUAGGCUUCCAUGUUUGUAGGGAGAGUUUUAGGGUGGUCCUGUUGUCAAUAUUCUCGUAGGCCGCCUAGGCCUCUACCACAGGAGUUUUAGGGUAGCAUGUUUGAUUUCCAGAGAAAGUCAUGUCUAGUUGAGGGUUUACGAGCAUCAGACUCUCAACAAUAGAGGAGUUUAGACUAGACUAGACCAGUCCCGCUAUAAGAACCCAAAAGCCGGAAAGUUGGAAUCAAGAGAAAAUCCUCAAAUGUUGAUUGACCUCAGAGUUUAGAAGUCCCUUUAUGACUCUUAGUAAUCUACAACUUGUAGGUACGAGUUGUAGAUGGAUCCCUUGAACCUAUUUUAAAACAAACCUUAGGACUGCCCCUACGACUCAAAAAGAUGAGUUGUAGGCUUGAUGACUACUCAUAACCUAGAGUCCUAGAGAGGGUUUAGAGCCUAGGAAACCUGCAGGAUGUUUGAAGUUUACAACUCGUAAGGAAGAUUACAAGUUGUAACAACGACUCGUAACCAAAUUUCAGAGACCCUCAAUUUGGCAGAUUUUAAAACCUAUAGGAUGAGUCAAGUUGACGGCUUGUAAUCAUGAUGACUAAUCGUAACUAUGACUCAUAGAUGCAACUUCAUAGACUCCUAAAAAUCUCAGAAACUCUUGACCUGCAUGACGACUCAAGUCUAUGAGUCAUAUACUUGAGGCCAAUUUGUAGAAGUUGACUCGUAGGUCUAAAUCCGAGUUUAAUGAACGACAAUCUUGUCUUUUCCCAAAGUUUGGUUCAAUGAACCUAAAAACUAUUAUGGCUAAGUUCAAGCCUAUAGCUACCCAUCCCUUCCAAAUUCCCUCUAUUCCAAAUCAUUCUUCAAAUUUAUCUAACGCAAGAUCACAAAUCCUCUAAAGCUCUCCUUCAAAUUCCAAGCUAGCACUACAAGAAAUAAGACUUAUUGUGGCGCCAUAUGUCGCUACAAAAUGCUCCACAGUCGCCGCUAAAGGUAUAUAGCAGUGACAAUUGCUCCGUUCGUAGUAGUUCCAUAACUAAAGGUUAUUUGUGACGAUUAAAUAAUAUCGCCACAAUAAAAAGUCAUCUGUGGCGACAUAAUUCGUCACAAUAUAUAAACAAAUAUGCCACAAAAAAUAAUAAUUUACAACACAAAUAUUUGGAAAGUCGCUCCUAAAAUAUGACCUUUAGUGGCGACAUAGUUGCCACAAAAACUUAUAAGCUAACUGUGGCAACUUUUAUGUCGCUCCUAAAAUACGACCUUUAGUGGCGACAUAGUUGCGACAAAAACUGAUUAGCUAACUGUGGCAACUUUUAUGUCGCUCCUAAAAUAUGACCUUUAGUGGCGACAUAGUUGCCACAAAAACUUAUUAGCUAACUGUGGCAACUUUUAUGUCGCUAAUAAAUAUUGAUAUUAAUUAGUAGCGUCUCCUAUCGCUGCAAUAAAGUAUAAACUAUUAGCAUCAAAUUUUACGUCGCUGCUACACUUAAUUAAUUAAUAGCGACUUCUUCCGCCGCAAAAUCCACUAAAUAUCAGUGGCAACUUUUAUGUCAUUGCAAAAGGUAAUAUUCAUCUCGUUACUAAAAAAUAAUAUUUAGUGUUUUAAAAUCAAAUUCUCUAAAAUUAGUAUAUAGAUAUUAAAAAUAUCUAAUAGUAUUUCACAAAAAUAGAACAAAAGCAUUUCCGAGUAUGUACAUAUUAGCUAGUACUUCGGUUAUCAUUGUAUCUAUAUACAUAUGAUAACAAGAAAAAAAAUCGUGUAUGCAUAUACAUAUAUAUGAUCGAAAAGCAAAAACUUCCAUUACACGCCUUCAAACUACCUCUUGAUUGGGCCCCAUUGCAUAAGAACCUUGUCCCUGAAAAUAGAAAAACACACAAUCAAUUUCUUAUUAGCAUAAUCCAAUCAAAUGACUCGAAUAAAAUUGGUACUUCAAGGUUGUUUUCAGGGGACGAGACAAUUCCUAUACAAAGUUUGACGAUGAUGUGGUCGAGCAAACUCAAUUAUGGACACAGAUCAGUACAAUUGCCAUAGAUAUUAAUGAAGAGGAAUCCAGCAAAACCAACACUUCAGUUGGAUUCAGCAUCUCUAAAGCCAUGGUAAACUUUCCAGAAAACAUUUCAGUUGUUGUAUUUAUCUAAUAACUAGUCCAACUUUCAAUGUAACUAUUUUCUACACUAAGGUAACAAUUUAUUAUAUUCCAAAGGAGCUAGAGUACCUAUUGCAUUCUAGUCAUAAUAGCAGCCAUUUGUUCUUGGAACAUCUUGUCUACCUCGCCUUUCAUGUGUUCACGCUCCUCUUCCAAUUUUUUCUGCAAAUCUUCUUUCAUAUUCUUUUUUAAAUCAGCAGUCAUUUGUUCACGUUCUUCCAAUGCAAACAUGUAUUCCGAGAAGCAAACUUUCCUGCAGAUACAUUGUCCAAAUGCAGUCAUAUGCUUGAACAUCCACAACAUUUCUAUAAUUUUCAGCAACUACCACAAGAAACUAAGGGCUACAUCAAGUUGGACAAGCUAGGGAUGGCAAGUUUUAGAAGAAGAAAACUAAAGAGGAUCAAACAACCUCCUUGAACUCUUCUUACAAUUUUAGUGUUCUAACUUCUUCUUCUUCAAUUUGGAUGUCUCUAUUUCAUAGCUAUAUCUACUUUGAAGAUUUAAUAGUUAGGACCUUUGUAAAGGGGAGAGUCUCCCUCAUUUAUAGCUUUUCUACACUAAAAAACUUAUCAUUUGAGAUAAGGACUAGAGUAGGUAUUUCUUCUUUGUUUCUGCUGUGCAGGUACAUUGCAGACCUGCAACACUUGAUCCAGCACUUGGAAUUCCUCUCUUGUUUGCUUCCAUUGUGCAGGUACAUUAAAGUGCUGCAACACUUGAUGACUUUGUUGUGGAAUUGCAGCAUACAUCUAGAACCUGCAGGUUGAUUUAGCAUGGUGCAAUGGAGUGGAUUACUACAUCAACAUCUAAGUUUACUGCAGAGCUGCAACAUCCAACAACAAAUACCUCAACUACACAACCAUGUACACAUAUACAAUACAAUACACCUUACAACAGUCAUCCUCAUCUUCACCUUUAGAACCUGUAGAAAUAUGGGGCAGAAACUAAUCAGCUCACAGGUACAUACAAACCUGCAACAUAUCAACCAUCAAUUGGAAGACCUUUUAAAUGUGCAUCAUAGUACAGUAAUGGCAUAAUACAAUACUUGAAAACCUGGACUUUGCCUGGGAGAUGCAAGUAUGAUGCAGAACUGCAACAAUGGAGCCAGCAAACUGAGGUGCAGGUUGCUGCAAUGCAACCUCUUGUUGGUAUAUUGUACCUAGUACAUGUGCUUUCCUUGGCUUCUUUUGGUGCAGGUACAGGAUGUGGUAGGUAGUUAAGCAGCUACAACUCUUAAACCAUCCAACAUACAACAUCCAACAACAACAUCAUUCAUCAACAAGUCCAGAAAUCUAUAGCACACAAGGAACAAAUCCAAAGUACAAGUUACAGCAGUCUGCACCUUUGUUUGCUAGCUUGUGCAGGUUGCUUGGUUGUGCAGUAUCUGAGAAGAUACCAGUGGGAUUUGGAGAGAAAGGGCAUAAUGCUGAAGGUUGCCACAACAAGAUACACUAAGAAGCUCCAACACAUGAACUACCAACAACUCAAGUGAUGAAAUAAGAUGAAGCAGCUAAUCAGGAAGCUGCAAACAUCUUCAAAGCAAUAUUGCAGGUCUUUCCUCUCUUGUUAGUUUAUGUUGGUCCUUUUUGGUCUUGUUUGCUGGUUUGUGCAGGUACACCACAGUAUAAAACCUGGAAUGAUUCAACACCAGUAAGAACAAGAGGAGCAGCAACUUUUUGGUUUGGUUGGUUUGUUUUUUAUGAAGUUGUAGGUUGCUAGAAUAGAGGCAUACAUCAACAACAAAGCCAUCAGAGAUACUGCACCUAUCAUCUGCUCAAACUCUCAACACUCAAGACAAGCUGCAGUACUUAUGGUUUUUUCCAAUGUGCAUCACAGCACAUUGGCAAACUUUGCAGAUGGGGAAAUGUAGCACAUCCAAAGCUGCAGAAUUGCUGUACCUCCCACAUUUGGGGAACCCAAGAAGUUGCGGCUUGAAGGAUAAUCGAAGACGUUAGUCGAGCGAUCUUGAAAAUCUAGCCGUUUUUUAAAUUCCUUCAAUGACGGACACACUAUUCAUAUCCAAAUUAGCAACAUCAUGACAACAUAUACUUGCCUUGCAUGACGCACUAGCAUCACAUGGACAAACUCGGCAUGAAAAGAUUAAGAAGGACAACGAUGACACAAUUGCUCUCGAUCCAUGAAAAUGGGAAGUUUCGUAUACUUGCUCUACUUCGAUUUAGCUAUGUUUUUAAUGUAGCUUAGUUGAAUAGGACUAGUGUAGGUUUCUUUCUCGUAUUUACAUGGAAGGAGAGUCUCCCUCAUGUACGUUUUUCUUAGUCGCAUUGUAUCGAGAGGAGUCCUCUCAUAGGUUUAUCAUUUUUCCACCUAGUGUUUGGGGAUGAGUUGGCCGACCUUAGUAGGUUAGCCGACUUAUGAACCACCUUAAGUUCGGAGGUAAGGUUUAUGUCCCCCUCUGUGUAUUUUUAUUAUUAUUUUUAUUUAUGAUAAGGCUUGGGGGUGCUGCUCAACCCCUGACUGUGCACGAGAGGUGGGAGCCUCGUGUAGGGUCUG
Long non-coding RNA from Solanum dulcamara, 6233 nucleotides. RefSeq lists it as uncharacterized. The transcript has 3 exons. NCBI's taxonomy places the organism in Eukaryota, Viridiplantae, Streptophyta, Magnoliopsida, Solanales, Solanaceae. The record is from RefSeq and is a predicted model, not a curated record.